Molecule: ribosomal RNA, 253 nt
Filed under: uncultured bacterium
Lineage: Bacteria
Description: partial 16S ribosomal RNA
Rfam family: Bacterial small subunit ribosomal RNA
Source: RNAcentral
UACGUAGGGUGCGAGCGUUGUCCGGAAUUACUGGGCGUAAAGAGCUCGUAGGCGGUUUGUCGCGUCGUCUGUGAAAACCAGCAGCUCAACUGCUGGCUUGCAGGCGAUACGGGCAGACUUGAGUACUGCAGGGGAGACUGGAAUUCCAGGUGUAGCGGUGAAAUGCGUAGAUAUCUGGAGGAACACCGGUGGCGAAGGCGGCAUCCUGGACCGGCAUUGACGCUGAGGCGCGAAAGCCAGGGGAGCAAACGGG